UGAAGCAAAAUAGUGAUAUCAAGCAAAUCUCAAAAAAUCGUUCUCAGUUCGGAUUGUAGUCUGCAACUCGACUACAUGAAGUCGGAAUCGCUAGUAAUCGUAGAUCAGCUACGCUACGGUGAAUACGUUCUCGGGUCUUGUACACACCGCCCGUCACACCAUGGAGCUG
Molecule: ribosomal RNA, 169 nt
Filed under: Mycoplasmopsis synoviae
Lineage: Bacteria; Bacillati; Mycoplasmatota; Mycoplasmoidales; Metamycoplasmataceae
Description: Mycoplasma synoviae partial 16S ribosomal RNA
Rfam family: Bacterial small subunit ribosomal RNA
Source: RNAcentral